CACGGCCCAGACUCCUACGGGAGGCAGCAGUAGGGAAUCUUCCGCAAUGGACGAAAGUCUGACGGAGCAACGCCGCGUGAGUGAUGAAGGUUUUCGGAUCGUAAAGCUCUGUUGUUAGGGAAGAACAAGUACCGUUCGAAUAGGGCGGUACCUUGACGGUACCUAACCAGAAAGCCACGGCUAACUACGUGCCAGCAGCCGCGGUAAUACGUAGGUGGCAAGCGUUGUCCGGAAUUAUUGGGCGUAAAGGGCUCGGAGGCGGUUUCUUAAGUCUGAUGUGAAAGCCCCCGGCUCAACCGGGGAGGGUCAUUGGAAACUGGGGAACUUGAGUGCAGAAGAGGAGAGUGGAAUUCCACGUGUAGCCGUGAAAUGCGUAGAGAUGUGGAGGAACACCAGUGGCGAAGGCGACUCUCUGGUCUGUAACUGACGCUGAGGAGCGAAAGCGUGGGGAGCGAACAGGAUUAGAUACCCUGGUAGUCCACGCCGUAAACGAUGAGUGCUAAGUGUUAGGGGGUUUCCGCCCCUUAGUGCUGCAGCUAACGCAUUAAGCACUCCGCCUGGGGAGUACGGUCGCAAGACUGAAACUCAAAGGAAUUGACGGGGGCCCGCACAAGCGGUGGAGCAUGUGGUUUAAUUCGAAGCAACGCGAAGACCCUUACCAGGUCUUGACAUCCUCUGACAAUCCUAGAGAUAGGACGUCCCCUUCGGGGGCAGAGUGACAGGUGGUGCAUGGUUGUCGUCAGCUCGUGUCGUGAGAUGUUGGGUUAAGUCCCGCAACGAGCGCAACCCUUGAUCUUAGUUGCCAGCAUUCAGUUGGGCACUCUAAGGUGACUGCCGGUGACAAACCGGAGGAAGGUGGGGAUGACGUCAAAUCAUCAUGCCCCUUAUGACCUGGGCUACACACGUGCUACAAUGGACAGAACAAAGGGCAGCGAAACCGCGAGGUUAAGCCAAUCCCACAAAUCUGUUCUCAGUUCGGAUCGCAGUCUGCAACUCGACUGCGUGAAGCUGGAAUCGCUAGUAAUCGCGG
This 1030-nucleotide ribosomal RNA is filed under the name Bacillus sp. I(2013). Its description in RNAcentral is "bacterial SSU rRNA". It matches the Rfam family "Bacterial small subunit ribosomal RNA", at positions 325 to 1347 of the family's 1533-position model. The record is from RNAcentral. Lineage: Bacteria; Bacillati; Bacillota; Bacilli; Caryophanales; Bacillaceae.